This 74-nucleotide transfer RNA is filed under the name Candidatus Diapherotrites archaeon CG09_land_8_20_14_0_10_32_12. Its description in RNAcentral is "tRNA-Arg". It matches the Rfam family "tRNA". Rfam says of the family: Transfer RNA (tRNA) molecules are approximately 80 nucleotides in length. The record is from RNAcentral. Lineage: Archaea; Nanobdellati; Candidatus Iainarchaeota.
GACCUCGUAGCCUAAUCGGAUAAGGCACCAGCCUUCUAAGCUGGGGAUUGUGGGUUCGAGUCCCACCGAGGUCG